Long non-coding RNA from Oncorhynchus keta (chum salmon), 1210 nucleotides. RefSeq lists it as uncharacterized. The record is from RefSeq and is a predicted model, not a curated record. The transcript is spliced from 3 exons. Lineage: Eukaryota; Metazoa; Chordata; Actinopteri; Salmoniformes; Salmonidae.
AUUACACUCCUGGAUACGGGAUUGUGCGUCGCAACAGGUUAAAACGGGAACGUUUGUCAUCCAAAAAUUAAAAUAGCGCCCUCUAAAUCCAAGAGGUUAAUGCAUUUGAGCCAAUCAGUUGUGUUGUGACAAGGUUAGGGGUGGUGUACAGAAGAUAGCCCCAUCUUAUCGCAAGAACAGCUCAAAUAAGCAAAGAGAAACAACAGUCCAUCAUUACUUUAAGACAUGAAGGUCAGUAUGCCAAGAACUUUGAUGCAGAAAAUUACAUUGAUAGAUUGUGCCCUUAUCUGCAAUAUUAAAGCUGGAAAAAAGCCAUUGUGAAUCUAUAUAACGUCAGGAAUAAAAUGAUGGGGAGGGAAGGAUGUACAAACAACCAAGUUCACAAAGUGGAGUGAUUUUGAUUAAUUUAAAGGGGCAUUAAAAGGGAGAGUGAUUAAUUUAAAGGGGCAUUAAAAGGGAGAGUGAUUCAUUUAAAUGGGCAUUCAAAGUGAGAGUGAUUCAUUUAAAGGGGCAUUCAAAGUGAGAGUGAUUCAUUUAAAGGGCAUUCAAGGUGAGAGUGAUUCAUUUAAAGGGGGAUUAAAAGUGAUUCAUUUAAAGGGGCAUUUAAAAGGGAGAGUGAUUCAUUUAAAGGGGCAUUAAAAGGGAGAGUGAUUCAUUUAAAGGGGCAUUAAAAGGGAGAGUGAAUCAUUUAAAGGUGCAUUUGGUGCCAAUUUUAGUUGCAUGAUUGUGUGUUGUUUAUCACUUGCCUGAAGAGACAGAGGGAGGGAUAGAGAGAGAAAAUGAGAGAGAAAAGAGGGAGUGAGGUAACGAAAGAGGGAACAGAGAGAGUGAGGUAACUUGAGAGGGAACAGAGAGAAUGAGGUAACUAGGGAGGGAACAGUGGGAGUGAGGUAACGAAAGAGGGAACAGAGAGAGUGAGGUAACGAGAGAGGGAACAGAGAGAGUGAGGUAACGAAAGAGGGAACAGAGGGAGUGAGGUAACGAAAGAGGGAACAGAGGGAGUGAGGUAACGAAAGAGGGAACAGAGGGAGUGAGGUAACGAAAGAGGGAACAGAGAGAGUGAGGUAACGAAAGAGGGAACAGAGGGAGUGAGGUAACGAAAGAGGGAACAGAGGGAGUGAGGUAACGAAAGAGGGAACAGAGGGAGUGAGGUAACGAAAGAGGGAACAGAGAGAGUGAGGUAACGAGAGAGGGAACAGAGAGAGUGAGG